AAAAAGGAUCAAUGACGGCACGGAGGCGGUGUAAGCGAACGGCAGCAAUGUGGCCGGUCAGCACGGCUGGACCGGGCUGAUACCGGCGAGGCGGUGCGCCCCCGCGGAGAUAACCGGAGCGUGUCGGCGGCGCGCCUGGGUCGGCAACCAGCUGCCGCCGCAUUGGCAGGGUAUGACAAAUUAGUUUAUAGUCCAGAAAAAUGAUAAGUUUAGCAACACCGCGCAGUUCGUUAAAGAGACAUUAGAUAAAUAUAUAACUCUCUCAGCCAGGCUUUUAUCCGAUGAUUAGCUCACGCUUUUCAGCCCUCGCUCGCUCAGGCUCCGCGACCAGGCUGACGCUGCAGGGGCCACCUUAUAACGUUCCGGCAAAAUCCCGGCCCAUGAAUAUUCAGGCGGGCUGGGAUGCGAUCAGCCUGCAGCGGAUGACUGAAGCUGGACCCGAGAGCGGUAUAUGCAGUAGAUGUGGCUUGACAGGAUCCAGCCACCUUGCCAAUCUCCGUGAGACAUCAGCCAUCCGAUACGCAUCAGUCUCGAGUGCCCGGGCUGGAAGCGGCGCGGUGAAAUGAAGAACGACGGCGCAGGCUUUCCUGUCUCUAAGCAGGAGUAUCGCCCGGAGGAUGCCUGGGAAUGCAGAGGAUCACGUCUGCACAUAGCCUAUCUGUCCAUCCACCCACCCAUUCAUCCACCCAUCCAUCCAUCCAUCCAAAAGUGUCCAUCUGCAGCCCGCAAGACUACAACGCCCAGUACAAGUUACACCCACAACAAUACAGGUAGGUUUAUGCCAUUGAGCUAUU
Non-coding RNA from Paramormyrops kingsleyae, 794 nucleotides. NCBI's taxonomy places the organism in Eukaryota, Metazoa, Chordata, Actinopteri, Osteoglossiformes, Mormyridae. The record is from RefSeq and is a predicted model, not a curated record.